UGGGGAAUAUUGGACAAUGGGGGAAACCCUGAUCCAGCCAUGCCGCGUGUGUGAAGAAGGCCUUUUGGUUGUAAAGCACUUUAAGCAGUGAAGAAGACUCCGUGGUUAAUACCCAUGGACGAUGACAUUAGCUGCAGAAUAAGCACCGGCUAACUCUGUGCCAGCAGCCGCGGUAAUACAGAGGGUGCAAGCGUUAAUCGGAAUUACUGGGCGUAAAGGGAGCGUAGGUGGCUCUAUAAGUCAGAUGUGA
RNAcentral lists this ribosomal RNA (250 nucleotides) under uncultured bacterium. Its description in RNAcentral is "partial 16S ribosomal RNA". It matches the Rfam family "Bacterial small subunit ribosomal RNA", at positions 355 to 597 of the family's 1533-position model. The record is from RNAcentral.